ACUCCUACGGGAGGCAGCAGUGAGGAAUAUUGCUCAAUGGGCGCAAGCCUGAAGCAGCGACGCCGCGUGGAUGAAGAAGGUUUUCGGACUGUAAAAUCCUUUUCUGUGUGACGAGAGUGGACGGUAGCACAGGAAUAAGUCUCGGCUAACUACGUGCCAGCAGCCGCGGUAAU
RNAcentral lists this ribosomal RNA (173 nucleotides) under uncultured bacterium. RNAcentral describes it as "partial 16S ribosomal RNA". It matches the Rfam family "Bacterial small subunit ribosomal RNA", at positions 335 to 524 of the family's 1533-position model. The record is from RNAcentral.